This 75-nucleotide transfer RNA is filed under the name Alphaproteobacteria bacterium. RNAcentral's name for it is "tRNA-Thr". It matches the Rfam family "tRNA". Rfam says of the family: Transfer RNA (tRNA) molecules are approximately 80 nucleotides in length. Their secondary structure includes four short double-helical elements and three loops (D, anti-codon, and T loops). Further hydrogen bonds mediate the characteristic L-shaped molecular structure. tRNAs have two regions of fundamental functional importance: the anti-codon, which is responsible for specific mRNA codon recognition, and the 3' end, to which the tRNAs corresponding amino acid is attached (by aminoacyl-tRNA synthetases). tRNAs cope with the degeneracy of the genetic code in two manners: having more than one tRNA (with a specific anti-codon) for a particular amino acid; and 'wobble' base-pairing, i.e. permitting non-standard base-pairing at the 3rd anti-codon position. The record is from RNAcentral. RNAcentral also lists the same sequence under 1 other name. Lineage: Bacteria; Pseudomonadati; Pseudomonadota; Alphaproteobacteria.
GCCGCGUUAGCUCAGCGGUAGAGCAGCGGUUUUGUAAACCGAAGGUCGGGGGUUCAAUCCCCUCACGCGGCACCA